RNAcentral lists this ribosomal RNA (41 nucleotides) under Limonium minutum. RNAcentral's name for it is "partial 18S ribosomal RNA". The record is from RNAcentral. Lineage: Eukaryota; Viridiplantae; Streptophyta; Magnoliopsida; Caryophyllales; Plumbaginaceae. RNAcentral also lists the same sequence under 2 other names.
UAACAAGGUUUCCGUAGGUGAACCUGCGGAAGGAUCAUUGU